Molecule: ribosomal RNA, 494 nt
Filed under: uncultured bacterium
Lineage: Bacteria
Description: partial 16S ribosomal RNA
Rfam family: Bacterial small subunit ribosomal RNA
Source: RNAcentral
GACGAACGCUGGCGGCGUGCUUAACACAUGCAAGUCGAACGGAAAGGCCUGCUUUCCCUUGUGGAUUGCGGGUACUCGAGUGGCAAACGGGUGAGUAACACGUGAGUGAUCUGCCCCCAACUUGGGUAUAAGCCUGGGAAACUGGGUCUAAUUCCCGAUAGGACUGCAGGGUGGUGCCUGUUGUGGAAAACGAUUUUCUAGUGGUUGGGGAUGAGCUCGCGGCCUAUCAGCUUGUUGGUGGGGUAAUGGCCUACCAAGGCGGCGACGGGUAGCCGGCCUGAGAGGGUGGACGGCCACAUUGGGACUGAGAUACGGCCCAGACUCCUACGGGAGGCAGCAGUGGGGAAUAUUGCACAAGGGGCGGAAGCCUGAUGCAGCGACGCCGCGUGGGGGAUGACGGCCUUCGGGUGGUAAACUCCUUUCGACCGCGAGGAAGCCACCUGGUUGGAAGGGUGGUGACGGUAGUGGUAGAAGAAGCACCGGCUAACUACGUG